ACGUAUACCGUCCAGGUGGUCUCAACAACACAUUACUCUCUCAAGGCUGCGUCCUUGGGAAACUUCUAGCAUGGAGAAGCACUUUGAAAAUGUAAUCCUACCACCUCUGGCCUCCGUGAUUUAAGAAGUCAGCCAUUGGUCUUAUUGAGGAUCCCUUGCACAUGAGUGAUUAAGAAUUGCCAUUCAGAAAAUCUGCAAAGUCACACAGCCCAGGCAUGCACAAAAGCAGAGAUUGUGACCUGAAAUGACCACAGAACCAAAGAUCCUUCUUCCCACAGAACCCAAGGACGAGGAAAUGACUGGAACUUGAAAGUCAGACUCUUACCAGAAGUGAAGGGUACCUCAUUCAGGAAGAUCCGGUGUUCAAAUUUCUUCCUUGCCUCAUCAUAAAAGUUUAGAACCUUACCAUAAAUGCUUGAAGCCCACCAAUCAAAGCCUGCCCCACCAGCAUUUCCGCGUGCAGCCCUUUCUCCCUAACCUCUUAAAUUUUGCCCCAAAUCCUGAACUGGGGAGACAGAUCUGAGGGCACAUGCACCCUGUUCUCCCUGCAGAC
RNAcentral lists this long non-coding RNA (553 nucleotides) under Equus caballus (horse). Its description in RNAcentral is "lncRNA (ENSECAG00000047600.1)". Lineage: Eukaryota; Metazoa; Chordata; Mammalia; Perissodactyla; Equidae. The record is from RNAcentral.